UCUUUCAAUAUUUUCCCUAUUAUUGCUUUAGUUUGAAUUCUAAAGUCAAUCUCUUUAUGUUUUUAGGAUAUCUUUGAAUAUGUUUUAGUGCUUUUUUUUUUAUCUUUAUUUUUUUAGAAUACUAUGUUAGUGCGUUAUUUUGAUUUUUACAUGUGAUAUCAAUCUUUUGUUUUGGGUUUUGGGGGUUUUGGUUGUCUUUGUGCUUAUCACAAGCUUUACUCUGAGAUUUGUUCUCAAUAUGAUAAAACAAGUUUUCUUUUUUAUUUGGGUCUGGUAUGUGGAGGUAUUGGUUGCAAUUUCUUCUUUUCCUUUCGUGGCAUAUGUUUUACCUUCCUUCCCCCACCCACUUCCUAGGAGUUGAGCAGUCGCCUGGUUAUAUCAGGUCUCUUUUCCUAACUUAUAGAAAAUUUAAAGAAAUAUAGGUCCUACUUCUCUAAUUUGUAUUGUUGUCUCAUUCUCAUCAUACUAUUUUUCAUGAAAAUCUCAACACAAAUCUGUGGGUAAGUUUUCUUUUUCUUCCUAGCUUCUCAUGUAAUGUACUGCACAUUAUGCAAUCAUGCUCAUCAUAAGUUUAUCUCACCCAGUCAUACUUAUUAACAGAGAUUACUCGUCUUUGAAGCUUUUUGGUAUCUUUAACUUGCAUUACCUGUAAACUGAUUAUGAUUUUUUUUGUUUUGUUCUACUUUGUAAGGAAAUAUUCAUGUUGUCAGCUGCUAAUUAAUAACAACUUAACUUAAAAAUUUUUGGAAAAUUUGCGUGAAACCUGCAUGUACCAUGCCAAGGUGUUUUCUUUCAUUCAUACAAUUUUUUUAAGUGUUUCUUGAGUUAUAGUCACCAAAAUUUGGUAAUUUCCAUAUAGGCUGCCCUUUGAAGUGGAGAUUCUGAGUUUGCUACUGGGAUAGCAGCUAUAUCUACCAUAGGCAAUGUAAAACGCAAAAAAUAACAACGCAAAAAAUAACUUUCACUUAUGAUCUUUCAAGUGAAGAAGUAUUUUUGGGUUCUGAAGAACAUGUGUAUACUUGUUACUGAUCGAAUGCAUAAGAGGUUGGGAUAGAGAAUUACUUGAAUAAUCAAUACCUAAUAUGAACACAUGCACCAAUUUUUUACUGUGUCCACACAUCAUAAAUUGACAUUGUAACAUCAUAAUUUUAUAAUGUAAAGUGUUGAGAGCUUUAUGCAUGAAUUUAACUAUUUGUGUUUCAUAUGGUUUUGAUGAAAUUCUAUAUAGUAUUCUUUUUUUUUCUUUUCUUUUCUUUUUAGAAUAGUAACGAUGAAGUUCUUCAUAGUUCUCGUCACUUCUAUGUAGAAUGAAUCUCGACAACCAGUUCCCACCAUGGUUUUGUAAACACAGACCACAAUGUGGUCGAAUGCACAUCUUUAUCGUAAAAACACGAGAUAACUACAAUAGACCUUUCUACAAAUGCUCCAACUGGAAGGUAUGUGACAUUCAUUCAUCAAUAAUGUAAAAGCACAUCGUUCAAUGAAGUGGGAUGCGGCCAUCUAGUGUGAUGUGACGAGAUACUAGGCCAAGAUAGGAAACCCAUGGUCAGAAACCCUUUAUAUGUUUAUGUUAACCACUAGAAUGAAGUGGAAUGCGGCCAUCUAGUGUGGUGUGACAAGAUCCUAGGCCAAAAUAGGAAACCCAUGGUCAAAAAGCUCGUGUCACAGAGGCCAGAUGUUGGUAUCACUAAUGGCAUACAUCCUGCUCAUAUGCCAGAUGUUGGUAUCACUAAAGGCGUACAUCUUGCUCGGAUGUUGGUAUCACUGAUGGAGUACAUCCUGCUCUAUAUGAAGAAAAGAAGCUCAAAGUUGUUGCUAUGGUCCCCGAGAAAGUAGUUAUUGUAAAAUUUAUUAUUAUUAUUAUAAGCGGAAUUGUUCUUAUAUUGCUGAUGUUCGCCAUUCCUUUUCUUUUGAAAGGAACGGGUAUUUGUUUCAUGGUAUCAUUACAACUGUAAUGCAGUUGUCAUAUAUCUCUUUCUUAUUUGGUGAUGUAUUGUAAUAUGGUUAGUAGGUUAAAAAAUAUUAUUA
Amborella trichopoda is the source of this 2028-nucleotide non-coding RNA. Lineage: Eukaryota; Viridiplantae; Streptophyta; Magnoliopsida; Amborellales; Amborellaceae. The record is from RefSeq and is a predicted model, not a curated record.